Molecule: ribosomal RNA, 408 nt
Filed under: bacterium
Lineage: Bacteria
Description: partial 16S ribosomal RNA
Rfam family: Bacterial small subunit ribosomal RNA
Source: RNAcentral
UGGGGAAUAUUGCUCAAUGGGCGCAAGCCUGAAGCAGCGACGCCGCGUGAGGGAUGAAGGCCUUCGGGUUGUAAACCUCUUUCAGCGCCGAAGAAGCGAAAGUGACGGUAGGCGCAGAAGAAGCACCGGCUACUACGUGCCAGCAGCCGCGGUAAUACGUAGGGUGCAAGCGUUGUCCGGAAUCAUUGGGCGUAAAGAGCUCGUAGGCGGUCUGUCGCGUCUGCUGUGAAAACCUGGGGCUUAACCCCGGGCCUGCAGUGGGUACGGGCAGACUAGAGUGCGGUAGGGGAGACUGGAAUUCCUGGUGUAGCGGUGAAAUGCGCAGAUAUCAGGAGGAACACCGGUGGCGAAGGCGGGUCUCUGGGCCGUAACUGACGCUGAGGAGCGAAAGCAUGGGUAGCGAACAGG